UAUCACGGGAGACACACGGCGGGUGCUAACGUCCGUCGUGAAGAGGGAAACAACCCAGACCGCCAGCUAAGGUCCCAAAGUCAUGGUUAAGUGGGAAACGAUGUGGGAAGGCCCAGACAGCCAGGAUGUUGGCUUAGAAGCAGCCAUCAUUUAAAGAAAGCGUAAUAGCUCACUGGUCGAGUCGGCCUGCGCGGAAGAUGUAACGGGGCUAAACCAUGCACCGAAGCUGCGGCAGCGAACGUAUCACCCAAGACAACUUUACGGAGUUGACGAUUGACGGAGCGAAGCGACGUCAAAGCGUUCAUUAAAGUCGAGUUGGCUUAGGGAUACGUUCGUUGGGUAGGGGAGCGUUCUGUAAGCCGUUGAAGGUGGCCUGUGAGGGUUGCUGGAGGUAUCAGAAGUGCGAAUGCUGACAUAAGUAACGAUAAAGCGGGUGAAAAGCCCGCUCGCCGGAAGACCAAGGGUUCCUGUCCAACGUUAAUCGGGGCAGGGUGAGUCGACCCCUAAGGCGAGGCCGAAAGGCGUAGUCGAUGGGAAACGGGUUAAUAUUCCCGUACUUGGUGUUACUGCGAAGGGGGGACGGAGAAGGCUAUGUUGGCCGGGCGACGGUUGUCCCGGUUUAAGCGUGUAGGUGUGUGUUCCAGGUAAAUCCGGUUCACUUUAACACUGAGGCGUGACGACGAGGCACUACGGUGCUGAAGCAACAAAUGCCCUGCUUCCAGGAAAAGCCUCUAAGCAUCAGGUAACAUCAAAUCGUACCCCAAACCGACACAGGUGGUCAGGUAGAGAAUACCAAGGCGCUUGAGAGAACUCGGGUGAAGGAACUAGGCAAAAUGGUGCCGUAACUUCGGGAGAAGGCACGCUGACACGUAGGUGAAGUGAUUUACUCAUGGAGCUGAAGUCAGUCGAAGAUACCAGCUGGCUGCAACUGUUUAUUAAAAACACAGCACUGUGCAAACACGAAAGUGGACGUAUACGGUGUGACGCCUGCCCGGUGCCGGAAGGUUAAUUGAUGGGGUCAGCGCAAGCGAAGCUCCUGAUCGAAGCCCCGGUAAACGGCGGCCGUAACUAUAACGGUCCUAAGGUAGCGAAAUUCCUUGUCGGGUAAGUUCCGACCUGCACGAAUGGCGUAAUGAUGGCCAGGCUGUCUCCACCCGAGACUCAGUGAAAUUGAACUCGCUGUGAAGAUGCAGUGUACCCGCGGCAAGACGGAAAGACCCCGUGAACCUUUACUAUAGCUUGACACUGAACAUUGAGCCUUGAUGUGUAGGAUAGGUGGGAGGCUUUGAAGCGUGG
RNAcentral lists this ribosomal RNA (1296 nucleotides) under Salmonella enterica. RNAcentral describes it as "partial 23S ribosomal RNA". It matches the Rfam family "Bacterial large subunit ribosomal RNA", at positions 973 to 2167 of the family's 2925-position model. RNAcentral also lists the same sequence under 1 other name. The record is from RNAcentral. Lineage: Bacteria; Pseudomonadati; Pseudomonadota; Gammaproteobacteria; Enterobacterales; Enterobacteriaceae.